Molecule: ribosomal RNA, 748 nt
Filed under: uncultured archaeon
Lineage: Archaea
Description: bacterial SSU rRNA
Rfam family: Archaeal small subunit ribosomal RNA
Source: RNAcentral
UGCUAGUUGUACGAGUUCGUACUCGUAGCGAAUAGCUCAGUAACACGUGGCCAAACUACCCUUCGGAGCACGAUACCCUCGGGAAACUGAGGCUAAUAGUGCAUACCACACUCCAGCUGGAAUGAGGAGUGUGCCAAACGCUCCGGCGCCGAAGGAUGUGGCUGCGGCCGAUUAGGUAGACGGUGGGGUAACGGCCCACCGUGCCAAUAAUCGGUACGGGUCAUGAGAGUGAGAACCCGGAGACGGAAUCUGAGACAAGAUUCCGGGCCCUACGGGGCGCAGCAGGCGCGAAACCUUUACACUGCACGACAGUGCGAUAAGGGGAUCCCAAGUGCGUAGGCAUAGAGCCUACGCUUUUGUCCACCGUAGGGAGGUGGACGAAUAAGGGCUGGGCAAGACCGGUGCCAGCCGCCGCGGUAAUACCGGCAGCCCGAGUGAUGGCCGAUCUUAUUGGGCCUAAAGCGUCCGUAGCUGGCCGCACAAGUCCAUCGGGAAAUCCACCCGCUCAACGGGUGGACGUCCGGUGGAAACUGUACGGCUUGGGACCGGAAGGCGCGACGGGUACGUCCGGGGUAGGAGUGAAAUCCCAUAAUCCUGGACGGACCGCCGAUGGCGAAAGCACGUCGCGAGAACGGAUCCGACAGUGAGGGACGAAAGCCAGGGUCUCGAACCGGAUUAGAUACCCGGGUAGUCCUGGCCGUAAACAAUGCCUGCUAGGUGUGGCUCCCACUACGAGUGGGUGCUGUGC